UUCAUUUAUCUAUAAAACAAAUAUUUUCAGUGCUAAUAUACUUUGUUGCAGCUUAUCAUUUGUCAUGUUUUGCAGACAUAUCGUGCAUAUCGGAUGUCAGGAUGUCAGCUGGCCAAAAACAAGUUUGAAGAAGUGGGGCAGACCACAGCCCAAGAUAACCUCACGCACAGCGGCACUGACGCACACAGGAGUCCCGACCUUUUAAUUCAGUCAACUUAGUAAGAAUGUGCGCUUGUCUGUGACAGGAAAAACAAUGGCUGAAAAAUACAAAAUAAAAAAACAAAGAUGUGGCAGUGUACAUGUAGUAUCCUGUUUGGUAUGAAGGGUGAAGUUGCAGCCAGAGCGAAGAAGCCUUUAAGACCAGACAGAAGUCUAUCAUAUCCUGUGGUCUACAUACCAGCUGAGAAAUAGGGCAAUGGGUCAAAGUCUGCGCAUAGAGUAAACAAAGAUCAGCAAACUUGCACUUCUGACAAGCUGAAAUUAAAUCAUUUCUUAUUUUCAUCUCUAUUUAUUUCCAUCAAAUGUUGGAAAUUUGCCGACGUGAAAGGUACUUGUAAGGUGAUUUUCAUGCUAAUGCUAAACUUGCAACGCUCAACGUUCAAAACCUUUUUUUUUUUCCACAAAAAGUAAGACUGUAGCUAUUAAAUCUAGUUAAUAUAGUGUGACAAAGAGAUUUUUUCUUUAUAUUUAUUUACUGUUUAAUAAGGCUGUUUGGUGUAGGGGGUGAGUGCUGGAAUGCAUUUACGGUUAGCAGUUUUAGCUGAUGUUAAUUUUCCAGUGCAGUAAAGUGGAGAAAUAUGAACUUUUGUUCAAUCAUUACGGUAUCUUCUUUGUUAGCAUAAAGCAUGUAGCUCUUCUUCUUUGGCCUGUAUGUGACGCUACGUAAGCAUUUUAUAGCCCUGUGUAUAGGCAUAAGUCAACAGCACAUUAGCAGUGCGCUAGCAAGUACAGGGGAUAAAUGCAUCAGUGGCGUUUUAUCUUUUAAAGCUAAGAUGAGCUAACCCUGCUAACAUCCUCAGCUUUGGAUCAUUGCUGUUGUUUUGCCGCUGCCGUAGUAAAUUACUCAAGUGAUUAUUUGAAUUUUUUUAUUAUUAUUAUUUGGGAAGCAGACUAUUGCAGUUUCAAAUUUUUCAUUCUUCACUUCAUGAAGCAUAACACCUGUGCACUAGACAUCUUAAAAAAACGUAUGGCUAACUUGCUUAACUUGCUUAAAGAAAAUUAGCCAUAUUAAAAUGUAUUUUAAAUGAACGGACAAAACCUGUGUCAAAUUUACAGAUUAACUGGACCAGUUUGUUUGAUCAAGCUCUUGAUCUGCAGUCACAUAUUUUUCAUAACUCCUCAAAACGUGUUCAAGUGAAUGCACGAGCCGAAGGCAAUUGGCAAUUUAUUGCCAUAGAAAUGCACCCCUGCAUACCGUGCGCCACACAAAUUAGCUGAGACGUUGACGGCGAGACACGUCAGAAAAGAACGAAUGCAAAUGACAUGAGAGAGAGAGAGGGGAGAGAGAGGGAGAGAAAAACGGAGAGAGAGAAAGAGAGAAGCGGUAAAUGAGGAAGUCAGAAGCGGAUGUUUGGGUUUUUUGAGCCCAUUCAUUUAAAAAAAAAAAAAAAAAA
Molecule: long non-coding RNA, 1613 nt
Organism: Cynoglossus semilaevis (tongue sole)
Lineage: Eukaryota; Metazoa; Chordata; Actinopteri; Pleuronectiformes; Cynoglossidae
Exons: 2
Source: RefSeq, a predicted model, not a curated record